AUUGAACGCUGGCGGCAUGCUUUACACAUGCAAGUCGAACGGCAGCGCGGGCUUCGGCCUGGCGGCGAGUGGCGAACGGGUGAGUAAUGCAUCGGAACGUGCCCAGUAGUGGGGGAUAGCCCGGCGAAAGCCGGAUUAAUACCGCAUACGACCUGAGGGUGAAAGCGGGGGACCGAAAGGCCUCGCGCCAUUGGAGCGGCCGAUGUCGGAUUAGCUAGUUGGUGGGGUAAAGGCUUACCAAGGCGACGAUCCGUAGCUGGUCUGAGAGGACGACCAGCCACACUGGGACUGAGACACGGCCCAGACUCCUACGGGAGGCAGCAGUGGGGAAUUUUGGACAAUGGGGGCAACCCUGAUCCAGCCAUGCCGCGUGCGGGAAGAAGGCCUUCGGUUUGUAAACCGCUUUUGUUCGGGAAGAAAUCCUCUGGGCUAAUACCCCGGGGGGAUGACGGUACCGGAAGAAUAAGCACCGGCUAACUACGUG
RNAcentral lists this ribosomal RNA (484 nucleotides) under uncultured bacterium. RNAcentral's name for it is "partial 16S ribosomal RNA". It matches the Rfam family "Bacterial small subunit ribosomal RNA", at positions 28 to 507 of the family's 1533-position model. The record is from RNAcentral.